This 253-nucleotide ribosomal RNA is filed under the name uncultured bacterium. RNAcentral's name for it is "partial 16S ribosomal RNA". It matches the Rfam family "Bacterial small subunit ribosomal RNA", at positions 524 to 776 of the family's 1533-position model. The record is from RNAcentral.
UACGUAGGGAGCAAGCGUUGUCCGGAAUCAUUGGGCGUAAAGCGCGCGUAGGUGGCCUCGUAAGUCCGCUGUGAAAGUCAAAGGCUCAACCUUUGAAAGCCGGUGGAUACUGUGAGGCUAGAGUACGGAAGAGGCGAGUGGAAUUCCUGGUGUAGCGGUGGAAUGCGCAGAUAUCAGGAGGAACACCAAUAGCGAAGGCAGCUCGCUGGGACGUUACUGACGCUGAGGCGCGAAAGCGUGGGGAGCGAACAGG